This 482-nucleotide ribosomal RNA is filed under the name uncultured bacterium. Its description in RNAcentral is "partial 16S ribosomal RNA". It matches the Rfam family "Bacterial small subunit ribosomal RNA", at positions 28 to 507 of the family's 1533-position model. The record is from RNAcentral.
GACGAACGCUGGCGGCGUGCUUAACACAUGCAAGUCGAACGCUGAAGCUCAGCUUGCUGGGUGGAUGAGUGGCGAACGGGUGAGUAACACGUGAGUAACCUGCCCUCUUCUUUGGGAUAACGCCCGGAAACGGGUGCUAAUACUGGAUAUUCACUGAUUCUCGCAUGGGGGUUGGUGGAAAGGUUUUUUCUGGUGGGGGAUGGGCUCGCGGCCUAUCAGCUUGUUGGUGGGGUGAUGGCCUACCAAGGCUUUGACGGGUAGCCGGCCUGAGAGGGUGACCGGUCACAUUGGGACUGAGAUACGACCCAGACUCCUACGGGAGGCAGCAGUGGGGAAUAUUGCACAAUGGGCGAAAGCCUGAUGCAGCGACGCCGCGUGAGGGAUGGAGGCCUUCGGGUUGUAAACCUCUUUCGCUCAUGGUCAAGCCGCAGCUUUGGGUUGUGGUGAGGGUAGUGGGUAAAGAAGCGCCGGCUAACUACGUG